AGAGUAAGUCAGCCUAAUCCAACGAAUUGCAUUGCAUAAGUUGGAGCGGAGGAACCAACGUAUGGGGCGUAUCUUAGCUAGAAGGAACAAAAAGUAGAUGUAUGUUUUCGCUUCUUGUUUUUUGCUUCUUCUAAUAGAAGGGUAUCUCUCAACCCUAGCCCGUCAGCUAACUUCGUAGGCAAUGAGAGGAGACUGA
RNAcentral lists this small RNA (196 nucleotides) under Scytonema tolypothrichoides. RNAcentral describes it as "c-di-AMP sequence". It matches the Rfam family "c-di-AMP riboswitch aptamer (ydaO/yuaA leader)". From Rfam's summary of the family: This family represents a conserved RNA structure found upstream of the ydaO and yuaA genes in Bacillus subtilis and related genes in other bacteria. Lineage: Bacteria; Bacillati; Cyanobacteriota; Cyanophyceae; Nostocales; Scytonemataceae. The record is from RNAcentral.